Molecule: ribosomal RNA, 680 nt
Filed under: uncultured Alphaproteobacteria bacterium
Lineage: Bacteria; Pseudomonadati; Pseudomonadota; Alphaproteobacteria
Description: bacterial SSU rRNA
Rfam family: Bacterial small subunit ribosomal RNA
Source: RNAcentral
AGAGUUUGAUCAUGGCUCAGAACGAACGCUGGCGGCAGGCCUAACACAUGCAAGUCGAGCGCACCUUCGGGUGAGCGGCGGACGGGUUAGUAACGCGUGGGAACGUGCCCAGAUCUGCGGAAUAGCCACUGGAAACGGUGAGUAAUACCGCAUACGCCCUUCGGGGGAAAGAUUUAUCGGAUUUGGAUCGGCCCGCGUUAGAUUAGGUAGUUGGUGGGGUAACGGCCUACCAAGCCUACGAUCUAUAGCUGGUUUUAGAGGAUGAUCAGUAACACUGGGACUGAGACACGGCCCAGACUCCUACGGGAGGCAGCAGUGGGGAAUCUUGGACAAUGGGCGCAAGCCUGAUCCAGCCAUGCCGCGUGAGUGAUGAAGGCCUUAGGGUCGUAAAGCUCUUUCGCCAGGGAUGAUAAUGACAGUACCUGGUAAAGAAACCCCGGCUAACUCCGUGCCAGCAGCCGCGGUAAUACGGAGGGGGUUAGCGUUGUUCGGAAUUACUGGGCGUAAAGCGCGCAUAGGCGGACCAGAAAGUUAGGGGUGAAAUCCCGGGGCUCAACCCCGGAACUGCCUCUAAAACUCCUGGUCUAGAGUUCGAGAGAGGUGAGUGGAAUUCCGAGUGUAGAGGUGAAAUUCGUAGAUAUUCGGAGGAACACCAGUGGCGAANGCGGCUCACUGGCUCG